Non-coding RNA from Sus scrofa (pig), 4937 nucleotides. Lineage: Eukaryota; Metazoa; Chordata; Mammalia; Artiodactyla; Suidae. The record is from RefSeq and is a predicted model, not a curated record.
UCUCCCUAACAAGGAGAGGUCCAAAGGAAGAGCAAUUCUGGGUUCCAUACAGAAUUGGUUAGGGCCAGAGCUCCAGAACUUUGUUAGUUUUAAAUCCUACACUCCUCUAUGUCAGUUUUUUUUUUUUUUUUCAGGUUGCCUUCCUCUAUCCAUCACAGGACAGCAGUGGGCAGUUCCAGGUUUCAUAUUUUGACAUGCCACUAUAGAGAGGAAUAAAAGGAGCUAACUUCCAUUGUCACUUUCCAAGAGUGGAAACCUUUUCUGGAAACUUUCUUUUCCUGAAUGCUUUCCUUCAUGUAUCCUUGACCAGAAUGACAUCACAAGUCCUCCUAAAUGCUGGCAAGGGAAGCAGUAUUACAAUCAAGAUCCACUUUGCUGUCCAGGUUACCCUGCUGGGUAUACUCUCCCCUGACUCAUCCAGAAGGCUGACUGUCCACACCUGUCUGCUGUACUCCCCUGUAGACGCCCUCCUUCCCCUGCUGGAACUCUGAUACCACCCACUGGGCUGCCUCCUUCCACAAGGACAUGCUUUGCACCUAGCUUGAACUCUGAUAUGCACCCACCUGCCAUUCCAUGGAGCUACUCUGGCAAUGAGCUGAGGCUCUGAAUCCUCAGAAUGGGCCGGCUCCAUGCAUGGAUCCAUUCUUCACCCAGCUCAGGCCCCGACAUCCGUGCCCUUCGUCACACCCUGAGAUCAACUGCUUAUCUAGCAACAGCCUGUUCCAACAAGGGUUAAAAUUUGGCUCAGAUGCAAUUUGUAUAGCAGUCUAUUUAAAGAAGCAAGUUGAUAUGGCAAUAGCUAUGUACAAAGUAAAAAAAAAAAAAAAAAAAAAGAAGCAGCAGCUAUGAGAUUUAUCCACUCACUGGAAAAAAAUGGGAGUUGUCAGAACAGAAAGAUGUGAUAGUGCAUGUGCAUUGUUGCUAAAGUAAUACAGCUAAUAAAUGUGGUUUUCAUAAAUUAAAAAAAUACAUAUAUAACUAUUCACCCAUCCUAUCAGCAGUAUCUCUUUACAAAAACAGAGAAUAGCCAUUUCACAUGAUGUUUUAACUUUUAAACUAUAUAGUGAUACUUAUCAAAUGGAAAUAUAAAAAAUAAGAACCUCAUCCCGUUUUGCCAGAAAUGAAUUUAAAAUAAAAAGUUGCAUUUUAAGAGUUCAUGUCAUGGUACUUCAGAUGAGUCUCUACCAUAAUUUCAUCACUAUCGCCACUGAUGGCAACUUAAGACUGGCAAUAAACUUUUUAUGUUGCUGUAUUACCUGUAAGAUGUCCAAAACAGGCUCAAUUUAUGGAUGAGAAGACUGGGCAAAGAGUUAAGAAACUGACACAGGGUCACAGAGUAGUAAGAGGGUCAGGCAGGACCCACCUCCUACAGCCUGGCUCCCCUGCCCUUAUACUCCCUAGUGUGUUCUGAUCUGGGGGAAAAAAAUACGUGACUGUGUUAUUAUCUUUAAUGGGAGAAAACUAGGGAAUAAGCAUAGAGGGGAAAGGAUUUAUGGAUCAUCUGUCCUGAAAUUAAACAGCUGUAAAAGAAUGAUGCAAUAGAGUCACAUUUACCGGUGAGGAAAGAUGUUUAGUUUAUCACACGAUGUUUGCUGUAAAAACUGAGUCAGGGCCGUCUACAGAUUAUAAAGAGAGUGUUUAUAUAAACUAUAAAUGCCUCAAGCAGGACUGGAAAGAUUCCAGGCAAAUUAUUCACAGCGUCAGUCUGGGAAAGCAGACGUGGGAUAUGAAUCUGGAAUGUGAGAGGAGAGCAGGAUUUGGGAUAGAGAAGAGGAACCUCAGGGGAUGGAGGUGUUUGCUGCCCCUAGUAAGUCUUUUGCAUAGUCAGUCCUAUCUUGUCGUCUGCUUCUCAGAGGGCCUGGACUAACAUUUACUGUAGCAUCUGUGACCACAAUGUGACAAGAAAGUAGCAUGAGCAAACCUAAGAGGACUUGAGAAGACUUAAGAGGCAGGAGGGUCUCCACUUUUCCAUCUCAGAGCUUUAUGCGAAGCCAUGGGAGCAUCUUCAGCCUGUUCACAUGAGCCCAGCAAUGAGAGAGUUAAUGUCCUAGGAGUAACCCUCAACCAAUGGAGAAUGGUACUGUGGGUCAGCACGUGGCACCUGUCUUUCCAGUGGAGAGUGAACAUUCUGUAUGUUUCUCACAGGUCACUGCAGUAUCCAGUUGCAGUUCCCUGCAACAGCAGCCUCAGUAAUGUACACCUGUACCAGCCUCUCCUUCCUUUCUCUUUCUCCUUGCUCCUUCACUAGGCUUCCUACGAUCACCCUUCAGAUACAUCUAAUUCCAUGCCUUGGAAUCCACAUUUGGGGGAAUCUAAAUUAAGACAACAUGUUAAGGAUAAAAACAAGUAUAGCAAUCUCUUUCCCCCAAAAUAAUUUCGAGGCGAUAAAUUUGAAAAAUGACUUUGCUCUAAUGAAUGAUCACUUAAUUAUAUGAAGAUAUAAUUUUAGGUUCUAAGAAAAUAAAAAAUUAUACAAUUCAGGAAGGGACAUUUUCCUUAUUUGACUGUGAAUAAAAUAAAUCACUUGCUUAUAUUCACUUAUGGUGAAAAAUAUGUAUUUUCUCAUAAAACAGUAAACUCCAGUAAGUAUAAAAUGAGCAACUAAAGCUAAUCAAAUUAAUUUGUAUAUAUGGACUUUAAAGGUAAUGAGAGUUUUUAUUUAAAGAAGUAAUAGAAACAUAGUUUAUAUACGCUUAUCAGUAGUAGGUUUGGAAAGUUUGUGAUUUUUAGUUCUCAAGUACUUCUGGUCAUCAGAAUAAAUAUUGUGACACUAUUUAAGAGUUACAUUCAUUUUUGGCAAUGUUUCCCAUUUUGUCAACCACAGAUUUCAAGUACCUUUAGUGUGCAAGGUUCUGCAUAAAACAAUCAAUCAUCCCCUUUUGGCUGCUUGGCAGACACAGUCUAUGGCUUGUUCUAUCAUGAACUGAAUUCAUAUAUAUUCAUGAGGUACAAAGAAACACUUCAUUGUUUCAGAUUGUUUUGUUAUUUUAGAAUAAAUCAUAAAGACACCAUCCCACCCAUAGAUGGUAAAGAAAUAUUUGUCCUAUGAUCCUCACCUUUGUGGUUUGUAGUGUUUUAACUUGCACAGUUUAGCCCACAUUACAUGUUACUUUUUUUUUUUUUUUUACACUAAGUUACAUACUUUUUUUUUAAAGCACCAUGUCUCUGUUACCUUGUAUCAGGAAAAAUUGGAAACAUUAUCUAAAAACUGAAACAUACGUGUCCUAAAUUAGUGUGAUUUAAUUUUCACCCUCUGCAGAACUCAUGGCAAAAUGAUGAACUUUGUACAUACAGGUAGAUACUGUCUGAGUUCCCAAAUUCCAUCAAUCUCAACAUUUUUUGUUCUUUCUCUAUUUGUGCAGAACCCUCCAAGAAUCUGUUGUAAUUGCAAAAUUUUGCAUCCUGGUAGAAUGUCUGCGUGAACAUCAGUCAGAGCAACAGUAGCACACACAGCAUGAAAACAACUUGCUGAGAAGGCUACUUUAACACCUCUGAUAAACAGAAAAAGAGGUGAAUGUUUGUAUUUAAAGUCAACCAAAUACCUCACUUUCUCUGCCUUUACUAACCAGUGUAAUCCUAUGCUGGUAAAAUCUUGUAAAAUCUGGGGAAAUAAAACCCAGACACAAUGAAUCCCAGAGACAUAAAGGCCAUUGAACAUUCUUGAUCAUCACCAACAUGGUUCUCAGAAAAGACAGUUUAUUGGAUCUUCCCUAAGAAUUAUGUUUUCAGCAACAGGAUGAUUCAAACGUUUAGUGUCUCAGAUUGUAACAAUGGCUAUUUGUUUAGGUCGCACAGUGCCUAUUUAGAACUUAGUCAAAUUCUUGCCAUAGGGAUCAAAAAAUUUUAAAAAGGACAAGUGGCAAUAAAUAGCAAUAAUGUGGCUCCACACAGGAUUGGAAUCAGACACUCAGGUUUGAAUCCUGGCCCCUGGAUGAGCUGGUGAACUCAGACAAUUUACUUGAUUUUUAAUUCUAGAUUUUUCUCAUCUGGAUAAUAUCUAUCUCACUAUUAUGAGAACAUAUCCUAGCCACAGAGUAAGAAGUUUAGUUAUUAUCAUUAUUUAUCAUUAUUAUCAGUCAUUAUGCUUGGCUGUAAAGAAUAGAACCCACCCAGCUAGAUUAAACAAAAAAGGAUUUUUUUAAAGGAGACUAGGUGACUUUUAGAUUCUUGAGGUCAGAGGGACAGAGACUCAGACUUGGAAGUGACUUAAGAAGGACUUGCUGAAAUCAUAUUAUAGAGGCUGCUAAGGGAUAUAUUCAUAGGAGCUUACCCAGGAGCUACAUAAAUUGUAGAGUCCAGUGUAAAAUGAAAAAAUGGGGCCACUUUUUCAAAAAGUAAGAAAAUUUCCAUUAAAGACACUAAAAUAUAAAGCUCUUUCCUUUUUUCUGCAGUCUCUUUCUCAACUUGCCAUGGCAUUUUUUAAUUAUUUCACAUUGUUCUAAGUAAAGAAAAAGCUAACAUUAAAAAAACUAGCAAAAAUUUUACCACUCAUCUUGGUAUUGGACAAUGUCAGUCUUAAAUGCAAAUAUAAAACCAUUUCAUUUAUAUGCAAAAUUAGUGAAAUCACAAUUCAUGUAUAUAGCUUAUGUAAUUUUUGCAUAUGUAUAUGCAUAUGUAUUUUUUUCUUACCAGAGGAGUAGAAAUACUACACAAAAAUAUCACAACUGUUUUCUUGAUACAUGGACAUUCUAUCAACACUCUCUACCUUUGCCAUGCUGAUGGGUAGGGAAGAACUGAAAAAAGAAGAUAUGGUUGCCCUAACUUUCCCUUGUCUUCUAUGUCAUCAUUUUCAGUGUAAGAGGUUGUUAUUACAGAGGAAUAACAGGAGUAGGAGAAUCAUAAUAGAAUUCCUUGGUUGUUCAUGUUUCUUCGAAUGACAUUGCCUUUGUGUUUUUCAUUUUUUUGUUUCUUUUUAUGCCACACUUACAGCAUAUGGA